This 497-nucleotide ribosomal RNA is filed under the name uncultured bacterium. RNAcentral's name for it is "partial 16S ribosomal RNA". It matches the Rfam family "Bacterial small subunit ribosomal RNA", at positions 28 to 507 of the family's 1533-position model. The record is from RNAcentral.
GAUGAACGCUGGCGGCGUGCCUAAUACAUGCAAGUCGAGCGAACAGACGAGGAGCUUGCUCCUCUGACGUUAGCGGCGGACGGGUGAGUAACACGUGGAUAACCUACCUAUAAGACUGGUAUAACUUCGGGAAACCGGAGCUAAUACCGGAUAAUAUAUUGAACCGCAUGGUUCAAUAUUGAAAGACGGUUUUGCUGUCACUUAUAGAUGGAUCCGCGCCGCAUUAGCUAGUUGGUAAGGUAACGGCUUACCAAGGCAACGAUGCGUAGCCGACCUGAGAGGGUGAUCGGCCACACUGGAACUGAGACACGGUCCAGACUACUACGGGAGGCAGCAGUAGGGAAUCGUCCGAAAUGGGGGAAAGCUUGACGGAGCAACGCCGCGUGAGUGAUGAAGGUCUUAGGAUCGUAAAACUCUGUUAUUAGGGAAGAAAAAAUGUGUAAGUAACUAUGGACGUCUUGACGGUAACUAAUCAGAAAGCAACGGCUAACUACGUG